Molecule: ribosomal RNA, 516 nt
Filed under: Suillus caerulescens
Lineage: Eukaryota; Fungi; Basidiomycota; Agaricomycetes; Boletales; Suillaceae
Description: eukaryotic LSU rRNA
Rfam family: 5.8S ribosomal RNA (bases 214-368)
Source: RNAcentral
CAUUAACGAAUUUAUAAUCCGGCGAGGGGAAGGACGAGAGUUGUCGCUGGCCUUUCGCGAGGCAUGUGCACGCUUUCUUCUGGACUUUCGCCGUAUGGGCGCGGGGCCACCCGCGUCUUCAUGCACCUCUUCGUGUAGAAAGUCUUUGAAUGUUAUACCAUCAUCGAGUCGCGACUUCUAGGAGACGCGAUUCUUUGAGACAAAAGUUAUUACAACUUUCAGCAACGGAUCUCUUGGCUCUCGCAUCGAUGAAGAACGCAGCGAAUCGCGAUAUGUAAUGUGAAUUGCAGAUCUACAGUGAAUCAUCGAAUCUUUGAACGCACCUUGCGCUCCUCGGUGUUCCGAGGAGCAUGCCUGUUCGAGUGUCAGUAAAUUCUCAACUCCUCUCGAUUUGUUUCGAGCGGACGUUUGGAUAGUGGGGGCUGCCGGAGACCUGGAUUUAUUUCAGGACUCGGGCUCUCCUGAAAUGCAUCGGCUUGCGGUCGACUUUCGACUUUGCANGACAAGGCCUUCGGC